GUUAAGUCCCGCAACGAGCGCAACCCUUAUGUUUAGUUACUAACAUUCAGUUGAGGACUCUAGACAGACUGCCCUUGAAAGAGGGAGGAAGGUGGGGACGACGUCAAAUCAUCAUGCCCCUUACGACCUGGGCUACACACGUGCUACAAUGGUCUGUACAGAGGGUUGCGAAGCAGUGAUGCUAAGCUAAUCUCAAAAAGCAGAUCUCAGUUCGGAUUGCAGGCUGCAACUCGCCUGCAUGAAGUCGGAGUUGCUAGUAAUCGCGAAUCAGAAUGUCGCGGUGAAUGCGUUCCCGGGCCUUGUACACACCGCCCGUCACACCACGAGAGUUGGUAACACCCGAAGCCAGUGAGCUAACCAUUAGGAGGCAGCUGUCGAAGGUGGGAUCAGUAAUUGGGGUGAAGUCGUAACAAGGUAGCCGUAUCGGAAG
RNAcentral lists this ribosomal RNA (430 nucleotides) under Anaerofustis stercorihominis. Its description in RNAcentral is "bacterial SSU rRNA". It matches the Rfam family "Bacterial small subunit ribosomal RNA", at positions 1079 to 1511 of the family's 1533-position model. The record is from RNAcentral. Lineage: Bacteria; Bacillati; Bacillota; Clostridia; Eubacteriales; Eubacteriaceae.